Molecule: ribosomal RNA, 791 nt
Filed under: Streptomyces bikiniensis
Lineage: Bacteria; Bacillati; Actinomycetota; Actinomycetes; Kitasatosporales; Streptomycetaceae
Description: bacterial SSU rRNA
Rfam family: Bacterial small subunit ribosomal RNA
Source: RNAcentral
UGAAGCCCUUCGGGGUGGAUUAGUGGCGAACGGGUGAGUAACACGUGGGCAAUCUGCCCUUCACUCUGGGACAAGCCCUGGAAACGGGGUCUAAUACCGGAUACGACUCGGGAAGGCAUCUUCUCGGGUGGAAAGCUCCGGCGGUGAAGGAUGAGCCCGCGGCCUAUCAGCUUGUUGGUGGGGUAACGGCCCACCAAGGCGACGACGGGUAGCCGGCCUGAGAGGGCGACCGGCCACACUGGGACUGAGACACGGCCCAGACUCCUACGGGAGGCAGCAGUGGGGAAUAUUGCACAAUGGGCGCAAGCCUGAUGCAGCGACGCCGCGUGAGGGAUGACGGCCUUCGGGUUGUAAACCUCUUUCAGCAGGGAAGAAGCGCAAGUGACGGUACCUGCAGAAGAAGCGCCGGCUAACUACGUGCCAGCAGCCGCGGUAAUACGUAGGGCGCAAGCGUUGUCCGGAAUUAUUGGGCGUAAAGAGCUCGUAGGCGGCUUGUCACGUCGGGUGUGAAAGCCCGGGGCUUAACCCCGGGUCUGCAUCCGAUACGGGCAGGCUAGAGUGUGGUAGGGGAGAUCGGAAUUCCUGGUGUAGCGGUGAAAUGCGCAGAUAUCAGGAGGAACACCGGUGGCGAAGGCGGAUCUCUGGGCCAUUACUGACGCUGAGGAGCGAAAGCGUGGGGAGCGAACAGGAUUAGAUACCCUGGUAGUCCACGCCGUAAACGUUGGGAACUAGGUGUUGGCGACAUUCCACGUCGUCGGUGCCGCAGCUAACGCAUUAAGUUCCCCGCCUGG